GAUGAACGCUGGCGGCGUGCCUAAUACAUGCAAGUCGAGCGAACGGACGAGAAGCUUGCUUCUCUGAUGUUAGCGGCGGACGGGUGAGUAACACGUGGAUAACCUACCUAUAAGACUGGGAUAACUUCGGGAAACCGGAGCUAAUACCGGAUAAUAUUUUGAACCGCAUGGUUCAAAAGUAAAAGACGGUCUUGCUGUCACUUAUAGAUAGAUCCGCGCUGCAUUAGCUAGUUGGUAAGGUAACGGCUUACCAAGGCAACGAUGCAUAGCCGACCUGAGAGGGUGAUCGGCCACACUGGAACUGAGACACGGUCCAGACUACUACGGGAGGCAGCAGUAGGGAAUCUUCCGCAAUGGGCGAAAGCCUGACGGAGCAACGCCGCGUGAGUGAUGAAGGUCUUCGGAUCGUAAAACUCUGUUAUUAGGGAAGAACAUAUGUGUAAGUAACUGUGCACAUCUUGACGGUACCUAAUCAGAAAGCCACGGCUAACUACGUG
This 497-nucleotide ribosomal RNA is filed under the name uncultured bacterium. Its description in RNAcentral is "partial 16S ribosomal RNA". It matches the Rfam family "Bacterial small subunit ribosomal RNA", at positions 28 to 507 of the family's 1533-position model. The record is from RNAcentral.